Molecule: ribosomal RNA, 492 nt
Filed under: uncultured bacterium
Lineage: Bacteria
Description: partial 16S ribosomal RNA
Rfam family: Bacterial small subunit ribosomal RNA
Source: RNAcentral
AGUGAACGCUGGCGGUAGGCCUAACACAUGCAAGUCGAACGGCAGCACAAUAAGAGCUUGCUCUUACGGGUGGCGAGUGGCGGACGGGUGAGGAAUACAUCGGAAUCUACUUUUUCGUGGGGGAUAACGUAGGGUAACUUACGCUAAUACCGCAUACGACCUACGGGUGAAAGCAGGGGAUCUUCGGACCUUGCGCGAUUGAAUGAGCCGAUGUCGGAUUAGCUAGUUGGCGGGGUAAAGGCCCACCAAGGCGACGAUCCGUAGCUGGUCUGAGAGGAUGAUCAGCCACACUGGAACUGAGACACGGUCCAGACUCCUACGGGAGGCAGCAGUGGGGAAUAUUGGACAAUGGGCGCAAGCCUGAUCCAGCCAUACCGCGUGGGUGAAGAAGGCCUUCGGGUUGUAAAGCCCUUUUGUUGGGAAAGAAAAGCAGCAGGUUAAUACCCCGCUGUUCUGACGGUACCCAAAGAAUAAGCACCGGCUAACUUCGUG